AGACGAAAAAUGAGGCGUCCUCCGCCACC
Molecule: small RNA, 29 nt
Filed under: Bombyx mori (domestic silkworm)
Lineage: Eukaryota; Metazoa; Arthropoda; Insecta; Lepidoptera; Bombycidae
Description: ovarian small RNA-11851
Source: RNAcentral